This is an RNA transcript of Brassica rapa (field mustard), 1933 nucleotides long. It is a transcript of the gene named calreticulin-3, with no coding region annotated. The record is from RefSeq and is a predicted model, not a curated record. Lineage: Eukaryota; Viridiplantae; Streptophyta; Magnoliopsida; Brassicales; Brassicaceae.
CUUAGAUGGAAGACGAAAGAAGUAUACAAAACGUUAAGGGUGUUAUUGUAAUUAAACGAAACGACCAUGGGGUCAAUGCUCAUCUUGCUAUAAAGCUCAAAUCACAACUUCCCCAGCCAUGUCAAGAGAUUCUGAAGAAAAAUGGGAUUGCCUCAAAACAAGCUCAAGUCUUUCUGCAUCUUCAUCUUCUCUCUUCUCACUCUCACUCCAUUAGCUUUCUCAGAGAUCUUCUUAGAGGAGCAUUUCGAAGGUGGAUGGAAAAGCAGGUGGGUCUUAUCUGAUUGGAAGAGAAACGAAGGCAAAGCCGGUACCUUUAAGCACACCGCCGGUAAAUGGCCCGGCGAUCCUGACAAUAAAGGUAUUCAGACAUAUAAUGAUGCCAAGCAUUAUGCGAUAUCUGCAAAGAUUCCAGAGUUUAGCAACAAGAACCGGACACUUGUUGUCCAGUACUCAGUCAAAAUCGAACAAGACAUUGAAUGUGGUGGCGCUUACAUCAAGCUCCUCUCUGGCUACGUUAACCAGAAGCAAUUUGGUGGUGACACUCCUUACAGUCUAAUGUUUGGACCAGACAUAUGCGGCACGCAGACAAAGAAGCUUCAUGUGAUUCUUUCAUACCAGGGACAGAACUAUCCAAUUAAAAAGGAUUUGGAAUGUGAAACCGACAAGUUAAAUCACUUCUACACAUUUAUUCUGCGGCCUGAUGCUUCUUACAGCGUUCUAGUUGAUAAUAAAGAGAGGGAGUUUGGUAGUAUGUACACAGACUGGGACAUCCUUCCUCCAAGGAAGAUAAAGGUCAAAAAUGCAAAGAAGCCAGUGGACUGGGAUGACAGAGAGUAUAUUGAUGACCCUGAGGAUGUCAAACCUGAGGGUUAUGAUUUGAUCCCACGCGAAAUUCCAGACCAAAAAGCUAAAGAGCCUGAGGACUGGGAUGAGGAAGAAAAUGGUCACUGGGAACCACCAAAGAUCCCAAACCCUGCCUACAAAGGUUCUUGGAAAGCAAAGAAAAUCAAGAACCCGGAGUACAAGGGAAAAUGGAAGAACCCAUGGAUAGAUAAUCCAGAGUUUGAAGAUGAUCCAGAUCUUUAUGUUCUGAAGCCUAUAAGAUAUGCAGGCAUUGAAGUAUGGCAGGUGAAGGCUGGUUCAAUAUUUGACAAUAUAUUGAUCAGUGAUGACCCGGAAUAUGCAAGGAGCAUGGUGGAUGACUAUUUUGCUCAGCACAGAGAGUCUGAGAAGGAGUUAUUUGCGGAAGCUGAGAAAGAAAAAAAAGCUAGAGAAGAUGAGGAAGCUAGGAUAGCAAGAGAAGAAGGGGAACGUAGACGAAAAGAGAGGGGUGACCGGUAUGGACACAGGGACAGGAGGCAUCGUUACAAACGGCACCACCGACGUGGUUACAUGGACGAUUACCAUGAUGAGCUAUAAGGCGCAGUGGUGGCCUGGUGGGGGAUUUGGCAAUGACAACCAAUAAAAGCAAGUAUUCAUUAAAGUCAUCAUACCUAGAGAGCUGGAAACUAUAUGGUUGGUUUUUGUAGUUUGUAUGAUUGUAAUAUGUAUCACACUUCCUGUAAUUGUUAUUUUUUUGCGGGUAAAAAUGUAAUCGUUGGAAUUUAUAUAUUUAUAAAUGUAUUCUGAAGUUACAUUCGUUGGAUAUUUAUAAGCAUAUUGUCAAAGUUUAGAUCGCCUCGUCUCAUGAUAUUAUAAACACAAACGUUACAAAUGUAUGAACUGAAAGUUUUUUAAAAAAUACAAAAACCACAAAUGUUUACUUGGUACAGAAUAAAUAAAAAAAGACAGUAGAGAGCCAAUCCUCAACUUAUACACCCUAAUACGGAUGAUGAUGAUAUGUAUGUCGACCAUUACCGUUCUAACAACUCAUAUCCCACUCGCCAAGAAACUAUACCACAGACCAAAACAAGAAGAAGGUAAUCAAUAAGAG